CCUACGGGUGGCAGCAGUGAGGAAUAUUGGUCAAUGGCCGUAAGGCUGAACCAGCCAAGUCGCGUGAAGGAAGAAGGAUCUAUGGUUUGUAAACUUCUGUUAUAGGGGAAUAAAGGUAUCAAUGUGUGGAUAUUUGCAUGUACCCUAUGAAUAAGCAUAGGCUAAAUCCGGGCCGGCACACGCGGCAAUACGGAGGAUGCGAGCGUUACCCGGAUUUAUGGGGGUUAAAGGGAGCGUAGGUUGUUUUUUAAGUCAGCGGUGAAAGUUUGUGGCUCAACCAUAAAAUUGCCGUUGAAACUGGAAGACUUGAGUGUGUUUGAGGUAGGCGGAAUGCGUGGUGUAGCGGUGAAAUGCAUAGAUAUCACGCAGAACUCCGAUUGCGAAGGCAGCUUACUAAGCCAUAACUGACACUGAAGCACGAAAGCGUGGGGAUCAAACAGGAUUAGAUACCCGAGUAGUC
Molecule: ribosomal RNA, 460 nt
Filed under: uncultured bacterium
Lineage: Bacteria
Description: partial 16S ribosomal RNA
Rfam family: Bacterial small subunit ribosomal RNA
Source: RNAcentral